GAUGAACGCUGGCGGCGUGCCUAAUACAUGCAAGUAGAACGCUGAAGCUUGGUGCUUGCACCGAGCGGAUGAGUUGCGAACGGGUGAGUAACGCGUAGGUAACCUGCCUGGUAGCGGGGGAUAACUAUUGGAAACGAUAGCUAAUACCGCAUAACAGUAGAUGUUGCAUGACAUCUGCUUGAAAGGGGCAAUUGCUCCACUACCAGAUGGACCUGCGUUGUAUUAGCUAGUUGGUGAGGUAACGGCUCACCAAGGCGACGAUACAUAGCCGACCUGAGAGGGUGAUCGGCCACACUGGGACUGAGACACGGCCCAGACUCCUACGGGAGGCAGCAGUAGGGAAUCUUCGGCAAUGGACGGAAGUCUGACCGAGCAACGCCGCGUGAGUGAAGAAGGUUUUCGGAUCGUAAAGCUCUGUUGUAAGAGAAGAACGAGUGUGAGAGUGGAAAGUUCACACUGUGACGUAUCUACCAGAAAGGGACGCA
Molecule: ribosomal RNA, 485 nt
Filed under: Streptococcus sp. oral taxon 066
Lineage: Bacteria; Bacillati; Bacillota; Bacilli; Lactobacillales; Streptococcaceae
Description: bacterial SSU rRNA
Rfam family: Bacterial small subunit ribosomal RNA
Source: RNAcentral